This 255-nucleotide ribosomal RNA is filed under the name uncultured Staphylococcus sp. RNAcentral describes it as "partial 16S ribosomal RNA". It matches the Rfam family "Bacterial small subunit ribosomal RNA", at positions 107 to 354 of the family's 1533-position model. Lineage: Bacteria; Bacillati; Bacillota; Bacilli; Caryophanales; Staphylococcaceae. The record is from RNAcentral.
UGAGUAACACGUGGAUAACCUACCUAUAAGACUGGGAUAACUUCGGGAAACCGGAGCUAAUACCGGAUAAUAUAUUGAACCGCAUGGUUCAAUAGUGAAAGACGGUUUUGCUGUCACUUAUAGAUUGAUCCGCGCCGCAUUAGCUAGUUGGUAAGGUAACGGCUUACCAAGGCAACGAUGCGUAGCCGACCUGAGAGGGUGAUCGGCCACACUGGAACUGANACACGGUCCAGACUCCUACGGGAGGCAGCAGAC